This 406-nucleotide ribosomal RNA is filed under the name Loxopholis percarinatum. Its description in RNAcentral is "partial 12S ribosomal RNA". It matches the Rfam family "Bacterial small subunit ribosomal RNA", at positions 786 to 1395 of the family's 1533-position model. The record is from RNAcentral. Lineage: Eukaryota; Metazoa; Chordata; Lepidosauria; Squamata; Gymnophthalmidae.
CCCACUAUGCCACGAAGUAAACUACGACUUUUACAUGUUCGCCAGAAAAUUACGAGCAAUUUUAGCCUAAAACUCAAAAGACUUGACGGUGUCCCAAACUACCUAGAGGAGCCUGUUACAUAAUCGACAAUCCACGAUCAACCCCACCACCCCUCGAACCCAACCUUCCAGCCUAUAUACCGCCGUCACCAGCUUACCCCUCAAAAGCAUCAAAGUAAGCAUAAUAGUAUUCUACUAAUACGUCAGGUCAAGGUGUAGCCUAUGAGGUGGCGCCAAUGGGCUACAUUAUCUAACAUAGAUCACCUACGAACUAUUUUUUGACAAAAUCAUACAAAGGCGGAUUUAGCAGUAAAUUAAGCAAGAAUACUUAACUUAACAUUUGCCCUGGGACAUGUACACACCGCCC